GGAGACAUGGCUCAGUGGUUAAGAGUACUAGCUGUUCUUUCAAAGGACCUGAGUUCGAUUCUCAGUGACUCAC
Molecule: transfer RNA, 73 nt
Filed under: Cricetulus griseus (Chinese hamster)
Lineage: Eukaryota; Metazoa; Chordata; Mammalia; Rodentia; Cricetidae
Rfam family: tRNA
About the family: Transfer RNA (tRNA) molecules are approximately 80 nucleotides in length.
Source: Rfam by way of RNAcentral